AGAGUUUGAUCAUGGCUCAGAUUGAACGCUGGCGGCAGGCCUAACACAUGCAAGUCGAGCGGUAGCACAGAGAGCUUGCUCUCGGGUGACGAGCGGCGGACGGGUGAGUAAUGUCUGGGAAACUGCCUGAUGGAGGGGGAUAACUACUGGAAACGGUAGCUAAUACCGCAUAACGUCGCAAGACCAAAGUGGGGGACCUUCGGGCCUCAUGCCAUCAGAUGUGCCCAGAUGGGAUUAGCUAGUAGGUGGGGUAACGGCUCACCUAGGCGACGAUCCCUAGCUGGUCUGAGAGGAUGACCAGCCACACUGGAACUGAGACACGGUCCAGACUCCUACGGGAGGCAGCAGUGGGGAAUAUUGCACAAUGGGCGCAAGCCUGAUGCAGCCAUGCCGCGUGUGUGAAGAAGGCCUUCGGGUUGUAAAGCACUUUCAGCGGGGAGGAAGGCGUUAAGGUUAAUAACCUUGGCGAUUGACGUUACCCGCAGAAGAAGCACCGGCUAACUCCGUGCCAGCAGCCGCGGUAAUACGGAGGGUGCAAGCGUUAAUCGGAAUUACUGGGCGUAAAGCGCACGCAGGCGGUCUGUCAAGUCGGAUGUGAAAUCCCCGGGCUCAACCUGGGAACUGCAUUCGAAACUGGCAGGCUAGAGUCUUGUAGAGGGGGGUAGAAUUCCAGGUGUAGCGGUGAAAUGCGUAGAGAUCUGGAGGAAUACCGGUGGCGAAGGCGGCCCCCUGGACAAAGACUGACGCUCAGGUGCGAAAGCGUGGGGAGCAAACAGGAUUAGAUACCCUGGUAGUCCACGCCGUAAACGAUGUCGAUUUGGAGGUUGUGCCCUUGAGGCGUGGCUUCCGGAGCUAACGCGUUAAAUCGACCGCCUGGGGAGUACGGCCGCAAGGUUAAAACUCAAAUGAAUUGACGGGGGCCCGCACAAGCGGUGGAGCAUGUGGUUUAAUUCGAUGCAACGCGAAGAACCUUACCUGGUCUUGACAUCCACAGAACUUUCCAGAGAUGGAUUGGUGCCUUCGGGAACUGUGAGACAGGUGCUGCAUGGCUGUCGUCAGCUCGUGUUGUGAAAUGUUGGGUUAAGUCCCGCAACGAGCGCAACCCUUAUCCUUUGUUGCCAGCGGUUCGGCCGGGAACUCAAAGGAGACUGCCAGUGAUAAACUGGAGGAAGGUGGGGAUGACGUCAAGUCAUCAUGGCCCUUACGACCAGGGCUACACACGUGCUACAAUGGCAUAUACAAAGAGAAGCGACCUCGCGAGAGCAAGCGGACCUCAUAAAGUAUGUCGUAGUCCGGAUUGGAGUCUGCAACUCGACUCCAUGAAGUCGGAAUCGCUAGUAAUCGUAGAUCAGAAUGCUACGGUGAAUACGUUCCCGGGCCUUGUACACACCGCCCGUCACACCAUGGGAGUGGGUUGCAAAAGAAGUAGGUAGCUUAACCUUCGGGAGGGCGCUUACCACUUUGUGAUUCAUGACUGGGGUGAAGUCGUAACAAGGUAACCGUAGGGGAACCUGCGGUUG
This 1520-nucleotide ribosomal RNA is filed under the name Klebsiella pneumoniae. RNAcentral describes it as "bacterial SSU rRNA". It matches the Rfam family "Bacterial small subunit ribosomal RNA". The record is from RNAcentral. RNAcentral also lists the same sequence under 5 other names. Lineage: Bacteria; Pseudomonadati; Pseudomonadota; Gammaproteobacteria; Enterobacterales; Enterobacteriaceae.